This 239-nucleotide long non-coding RNA is filed under the name Nicotiana benthamiana. RNAcentral's name for it is "long non-coding RNA (NBEN_LNC014466)". The record is from RNAcentral. Lineage: Eukaryota; Viridiplantae; Streptophyta; Magnoliopsida; Solanales; Solanaceae.
AAUGGAAUAUGAGCCAGUCUUAAAUGCCAAAUGUAAUUCAUGUCAUUGGCAUCAGUUUUAUUAUUACAAAUGGAACUAUUUACAUUGGAAUUCAAAACAACAGAUUUAUGGUCAGAAGAACAAACAUGAGUACAAGAAUCAGAAAUGGAGCAUACAGAAGCAGAGGAACAACAAUUAACAGAAGAAGGUGAAGAGGGCACCCAAGAGAAUUUGUACAGACCAGCCUCCUCUUUACCAAG